RNAcentral lists this ribosomal RNA (465 nucleotides) under uncultured bacterium. RNAcentral describes it as "partial 16S ribosomal RNA". It matches the Rfam family "Bacterial small subunit ribosomal RNA", at positions 28 to 507 of the family's 1533-position model. The record is from RNAcentral.
GACGAACGCUGGCGGCGUGCUUAACACAUGCAAGUCGUACGGUAAGGCCCUUUCGGGGGUACACGAGUGGCGAACGGGUGCGUAACACGUGAGUAACCUGCCCACAACUUUGGGAUAACGCUAGGAAACUGGUGCUAAUACUGGAUAUGUGCUCCUGCUGCAUGGUGGGGGUUGGAAAGCUCCGGCGGUUGUGGAUGGACUCGCGGCCUAUCAGCUUGUUGGUGGGGUAGUGGCCUACCAAGGCGGCGACGGGUAGCCGGCCUGAGAGGGUGACCGGCCACAUUGGGACUGAGAUACGGCCCAGACUCCUACGGGAGGCAGCAGUGGGGAAUAUUGCACAAGGGACGCAAGCCUGAUGCAGCAACGCCGCGUGCGGGAUGACGGCCUUCGGGUUGUAAACCGCUUUCAGCAGGGACGAAGCUUUUUGUGACGGUACCUGCAGAAGAAGCACCGGCUAACUACGUG